UUCUUGGCUACUUACAACAAAAUUGUGUUCCCUUUUAAGCUUGCAUGUACUACCUCUGUUUCAUGAUUACUAUCUCAGGCUUUGAGAGUUCAAAUAACCGUCCAUUGAGAAAAUUGGUGGUAUGAAGAAAAUAAUUAUUUUAUUGCUUUAGAAGAGGUUAAGUAGCUGUAGCAUCUUAUUUAAUAAGGAUAUGCAUGGCCAUUUUUUCUGAUUAUUGUUUCUUAGAUUUGGUCUUCCCUAGAUCUGUGUGGAAGGUUUAUUAUGGGAAUACCCAAUUGGACCUCUUCAUUUUAAGUAUAUUUAGGUUUGUCAUCAAGACUAGGAGUAUGAAUUUUUCUUGUCUUGGCCAUUGCACGAUCUCCAAAUGUAGCUUUAAUCAUUCAUUUGUACAGUAAUGUGUGAUAAGUAGAAGGCUUUCCUAAGAAGGCACAAGUUCUACCUAGGAUUUCAGAUAUAGGGACCUGGCCCAGUUUUGGUGCGAAUUGUAAAGUCCACCAUAAACAUGCAAUGCAAGAAGACAAUAGUUUUCCUGCUUUCUUUGUCUGAACUCUUGUUCUUAUCUUGAAAAAAAGUUAGGUCCCACCGGGAUUCGAACCCAGGUUGCCAGAUUCAAAGUCUGGAGUGAUAACCACUACACCAUGGAACCGGAUCUUGUAUAUGGUCCUUUGAUGAUGCCAUUUAUGAUAUGAUUCUAUAGGCACGUAAAAGGGCAUGAAAAAUAAACACUUUUUGCUUGUAUCUGUUUGUUUUCUAUGGGCACACUUGCAUUGUUUGAUUCAAUAAAGUCGUCUCCUUUUUGAGCUUGCAGAUAGUUGGCAUCUAGUUAAAUUAUGGGAAUAGCCAAAAGAUCACUUUAGUUAAAGUGUUAUUUUGGUAUAUCAUUAGUAUGGCUUGAUGUAUGGAUGUGUGUUGUCUUGGGAAUUCCACGCUUUUAAGAAACUUGUAGUGAAAUGGCGUCCUAAGAAUGGAUAUGGUCUUAGGCCAAUUUGGCGCUGAAUAUUUACUUAUGUCUGACAGAAAUUAGUAACGCAUGAGCGUAAAAUGGGUACUUUUCUUAAUUUGUCAAGAGCUGUUGUCCGACAGAUAUCCAUGUCAUUAGUACUUAUUCUAAUGUAAAGUUCACUCGAAAAGGUAAUCAUCGAAGGCAUGGCAAGGUGGCAGAAUGGCAGUUAGCUUCAUGGGCUCUGCUCAAUCAGGAUCUUGUAGAGAAGCCAGGACGCAAGAAUCCAGACACAGCACAUCACCCUCUAGGAAACAGUAUCUUAAGGCUUCUUGAGUAGCAGCGCUGAGAAUUGUCUGGGCUGUGGGAAGACUAGCGGCAGCCUAAUCUUGUGGAAGUUGGGCUCCAGGACCGUCCAGGUAAGGUGGAGUUAGCUUGCAUUGGAGUGGGGGGCACCGGGUGAUACAAAGUUUGCAUGGGAUCCAAGGACACCGACAGAAUUACUCCCUUCGGCCCUAUAAGAAUACAUGGAAUGUGUGAUCAGUUAGAGAAGGCUGCUGCAUCCUGAUGUGGGAAUACACUCGCAGAUGCAUGACUGCAGUUGCCACUGAGAAGAACUUGAGCACUAUGGUCUAGGAAUAUCCAUGCCUUCCCUUUGAUGAUUAGCUUUUUGGGUGGGGGAAUAUUAUUACCAGAACCAUCUAUAUGUGUCAAACAAAAAAAAUCAUAGUCUAGGGUCGCUAAUAGCUAAGGUCUGUGGACAUUUUAUGCACAUGAAACCCUCUUUGAAAUGAUGGUAGGUGCAGGAUUAUUGAUGACUAGUGUGUGAUAUCAUUAUGCUGCUGUCUAAUGUACUUUACUCUAAUAUAGAAAUAUUCUUUUGACAUAUGCAUAAUGUCCUUAGCUAGUCAAUGUGGGGCCUAACAGAAAAGACAGAUAUUAUCUUAUUACAUGAUUGACUGAGAUAAAUUUACCUCAACAGGGUUUUCCUUAUCAUUAUUAAUUUUUUGGCUCUGUUCACGUUCAGUUCUUUUGCCUUCAACCCCUGUAAGGCUGUAACAGCUUUUGCAUAGAGUACUAGAUUACACCAUUGCAUGCUGAGAUCGAUUCGUGGUGGCCUGAUGCUUCAAGACGUUUUGCGGUGGCCAAUCAUGAAAAGGUUAAUUCCUUAAUCAUGCUGAGCCUUUGACUGGAGAUAAAUUAUUGCAUCUUCGAAGACAAGCGCGCUCCUGCUAGCUCUGUUUUGAGCAUGCCCCUUGAUGAGGGGCACGCGUGGGUGGCUUGUAGAGGUGGGCAGCCGAGAGCAAUAGAGUAGCCCUGGCUUGUCUUUGAGCCCCCAAAGUGGUGGCGUUUUGGGUGGUCUUUUUUCAGGUUCUGCAUUGACCUCUUUUCUCUCUUUUUUCUUGUUCUGUUGUCGUUUUGUUUUGGACAUCUUGGUCCUGCCUUUGAGCUGAAUACAAUGACGUGCAGCUCUCCUACGGGUUCUAAAGAAAAAAGUACUAGAUUACACAUGCAUUGUAUGUAUAUAUAACGUUGCCAAUCUUCAGUUUAACCCGUUUUUCUACAGGGGAGAACACCAUCUGAAUCAGAUUGGAUGGAUAAGCCAGAGCAGGAGUGCUCUUCGCGAGCCAAAAUGAGUUUUGUCCCUAGAACAUGUGGUACCUUAUUUGCUUCUUGUGGGCAAUGAUUUUUGUUCCAUGAUGUAAGAAUCCCCAAAGAUGACAGCUGUGGCUACGUGGGAUUAUACAAUCUGAGAUGUUGACCAUGCGAUUACAUCCCAUUUAAGCAGUGAGGUUUAAGCUCUGCCAACCAGCAUCGAUGACAUACAAAGUGAUCUGUUGAAGCUACAAUAAAUAUGCUCCCGUCAUCAUAGAUAAUUGUUUCACCAUAUGCAGCAUCCUCAUUUGGGCCUCUUUGUUUAGAAAGAUUUCUGUUUUACUUUUGGAGGCUUGGAAUCCUUAUGAAUCUUUUCUACUACUAGCUCCAUUCCGAUUUAAUGACUGCGAGUAGUAGCACACUAGCACCACAAGUGAGUAUGUACGCAAGUUGUUUCCACUGAAUGGCGUUUGAUUUAAAUCGGAACAGACAAUAGAGGUACUAUUUGUUA
Lolium rigidum is the source of this 3047-nucleotide long non-coding RNA. RefSeq lists it as uncharacterized. Lineage: Eukaryota; Viridiplantae; Streptophyta; Magnoliopsida; Poales; Poaceae. The transcript is spliced from 2 exons. The record is from RefSeq and is a predicted model, not a curated record.